CAUCAUGAAUGUAAGUUUAUUACAAACACUUGCAACAUCUGGUGAAAAUGUUGUAGUUUUGGGACACCAUGGACAAUAUUUUAAAACUACGAAUAUUUAUGUGGGCUGCUUGGAUUGUUCUCAUCACUAUAAUGUUUUGCAGGAGUGGCCAACAACUCAUCGAUGCGACGAGCGAUAUUUUUUUUACUUUGGGUGGAGCUCCUUGGUACUACUGGAAUUUAGACAACAUUAAAAUUCUUCUCACAUUUAUGGCAAAUAGCACUAAAAAUGAUAGUAUUUCUCUGGCUGGGAUUUGUCUAGAUUACCCAUUGUUUGUUUCGGUCGCAAACACCACCGUCUCAUAUGCUCUCGUUCUGUACAAUCUUCGCGAAAGUAGUCUUGAUUCAAGCAACAAAAAGUAACACUUUCAGCUACAGUUUUACGCACUGACGGAAUAUUAUUAGUAUUAUUACACAUAACAGGCACUUAAAAGGCACUUAUCAGAUUAUUGUUCAAAGAAUUCCGCAUCGAUAGUGCAAAAAUAGAAAAGAUUGACCGUCUAGUUUUGGAGAUAUUAAAUUUUACAAAUUGAAUUUUUGAAUCUCUUUUACAUUGCGGCAUA
This is a long non-coding RNA of Tribolium castaneum (red flour beetle), 601 nucleotides long. RefSeq lists it as uncharacterized. The transcript has 3 exons. The record is from RefSeq and is a predicted model, not a curated record. NCBI's taxonomy places the organism in Eukaryota, Metazoa, Arthropoda, Insecta, Coleoptera, Tenebrionidae.